GGGGCGACUUGGGAGCGAGGGCCACGGGCCGCCGACGAGGCGACUCAAGACCCGCCGGGGAGGAAUGGCAGGAAUCUGCCGGGUUCACGGAAUGAGAGGCAGGCCUAAGCCUGAGAAGAUGCAGACCUCUCUCUGUCACGAAAUGAACGCAGCAGAUGGCCAAAAAGAAUGAACAAUGCCAGGUUCUUUGUUCUGAUAGGGGACAGGGAAAGGUCCAAUCCCCAACAUUUCAGGGGCUAAAGGGCUGUUUAUAUGUUCUGUUGUCCUCUCCAGGGAGGGAAAACAAAAGUGAGAUGGAGAGCGUGCCUCCCACACUCAAAAUCCUCUGCCCGAAGCACAGUUUGGACUGAUGGUACCCUGCAGCCUCCCCGGAGAAAAAGCACAGGCUGAGUCCCAUGUCUGAGCAAGGGGCAUCUGGAAAGAGACGUUUGCUCUCGAAUAGGUGGCUGGCCUCUACGUGCAGACGGGUGGAAGGUGAGCUGAUGGACAGCGAAGGCACAGUAGCAAUAUCGUCGGUAGACGUAUUAUCUUUAACAUCCAGUGGGCCUCGGAGAAGGAAGAACUAUUAGAUUGUUCUCUUUUGGUUGACGCUUAAUGUCUGGUGAUAUUUUAGAGGCUCCCUGUGGAUCUCCAUCAUGGAAUCAGAAUUUGAGAGCCAUCACAUUAGCUGCCACUUACUGAGCACUAAUUCUAUGUGUAUCUCAUUUGAUCCUCACGCAUUUGAGGUAAGGGGUUUGUGGUGAGGACCAUAUCAGAGAGAUUUGCUCAUGGCCUCCUGAGCAAGCAUUAUGCCAGCUGAAAUUUGAACUGGAGUCUGUCAAAUGGCAAAGCCUUGCAAGUAUCUUACAGGGUAUGAAAUGCGUGUCAUCUCAUCCGUUGUUCCAGUGCCUUCCAGAGGGCUAAGACAGGAGCCCAGCCAGAACUGGGUGGGGAAAUCCAGUCUUUCCUUCUCCAUUCCUCCCAGAACCCCACAACUUCUCACCAAGAAGGGAAGUACCCUCUCCUGACCUGAAUUCCCACUGACAGUCAAGGCUACUGUCUCAAGACGAACUGAUAGAGGAACGUAUUAAAUGAUCCUAUGAAGAUGUAAUCAGCAAAAUCCAGACUCUGGAAGCGAAUUUACCCAGUUUCUACAAUAAUGUCUAAGAAGAAAGAAAAAAAGGAAAGAAGAAAGGAAGGAAGAAAGGAAGGAAGAAGGAACAAAGGAAAAGGAACGAGAGAAAGGAAAGGGAAGGAGCGAGAUGGAGGAGGAAAGAAAAUAUUAAAAAAGACAACCAACUGCAGUGAAUGAAUGGAGCGUACUUGGGUUCUGAAUCAAAGAACAAACUUUAAAAAUUAAAUUUUCAUGAGACGAAAAUGUGAUACUAAUAGGAUAUUUGAUAUUAAUAAAUUAUUAUUAUUUUUUAGGUGUGAUAAUGAAGUCACACACAUUUUUAGAGCCCUUACUUUUCAGAAAUAGUAUGAAAAUAUUUACCAAUGAAUCAGCCAUGGAUAAAUAGUAACCUCUGAGGCUGGGUGAUGGGUAUGUGGGGUGGGGCUCUACACUAGUCUCAAUCUUUUUCGAAGGCUUGAAAAAGUCCAUAACGAAAGUUUUUAAAAUUAUAAAUGCACAUAGCAUUUGCCCCUCAUCCAACAUUUCCCCUUACAGGAAAUUAUUGUACCGAUUGACUUGCUCAUGUAUAAAUUGAUAUACAUACAAUAGGAAUCAUUGUAGAAAUGUUUGGAAUAGCAAAAUAUUGGACCAUGUUAUACGUUCAUCAACAGAGUCUAGUUAAAUAUUGUAUGGUACAUUUUAGAAUUAUUUUUAGAUGUAUCUGUUAAAAAGAACAAUGUAGUUACAUUUAUUGAUUUGACAUGCUGUCCAAGAUAUAUCAACUAAAAGAAAAGUUGAGACCACUUAUAGAUAGUAACCAACCGUUUGUGUUAAUAAACAAAGAAGAGAGACAAUAUAAACAUGUAAACCUAAUAACUGUUUUAUCUGUGCCAUACAGAUUCCGAAAUGUUGGUUUUUUUAAUUAUUAUUUUAAGAAAUUUUACAAUUUAAUUUUGUAUUUCCCUUUUGUCCUAAAGGAUAGAGAACAUAAUAAAUGACCCUAUGAAGAUGUAA
Pteropus alecto (black flying fox) is the source of this 2107-nucleotide long non-coding RNA. RefSeq lists it as uncharacterized. The record is from RefSeq and is a predicted model, not a curated record. Lineage: Eukaryota; Metazoa; Chordata; Mammalia; Chiroptera; Pteropodidae. The transcript is spliced from 3 exons.